UGGAAUCGCUAGUAAUCGCGGAUCAGAAUGCCGCGGUGAAUACGUUCCCGGGUCUUGUACACACCGCCCGUCACACCAUGGGAGUCGGAAAUGCCCGAAGUCUGUGACCCAACCUGCGAGGGAGGGAGCAGCCGAAGGCAGGUCGGAUGACUGGGGUGAAGUCGUAACAAGGUACC
This 176-nucleotide ribosomal RNA is filed under the name uncultured bacterium. RNAcentral describes it as "partial 16S ribosomal RNA". It matches the Rfam family "Bacterial small subunit ribosomal RNA", at positions 1327 to 1500 of the family's 1533-position model. The record is from RNAcentral.